UCUGCCUCUGCAAUAGGCAUUAAGAGUGAUGUCAGACGCUCAUUUGCUUAAUGCAAUAAGUUUCUCUCUGCGUCAUACGUUUAUCAAUUAAAACGUCCCCUCGUAAUUCCUGUGUACCCGUUUAAAUACAUUGUCCGUGCUGGAAAUCAUGCUCGCUCAGAUAUUCCUCCUCAACGAUACAUGUAUACCUCAUUUAAAUUGCCCUACCACAACGAUAUUUUAACAUUGAAGAGAUAUUUCGUAAUUGAAUUAUUGCGAAUUAAAGUUUGGUGCAUAAAUAAACACGGUCAGUGCUAUUUGCAUUAAUGGCGUCACUUUGUGCGAGAGGAGCAAACUAGAUAAAUCCACAGAAUAAACUUCCAAAAAAUCAUGCCAGCUUGGUAGCUAUUAGCCGGAUAUCCUGUGCUACUGAAAUGUUUUGAAGAGGCUGAUCUUCCUGAGGAGGCUAAAGAGCUUUGGGUUGGAAACCAAAACUCUGCUGAACUUCUGCCGCUACACCAGUGAGAACAUCCUGACUGAAUCCAUCGCAAUGUGAUUGGGCAGCCCAACUGCUCUGGACCACAGCAUACUGCAAAGGACUGUCCAGAGUGCUUCAAAGGUCAUCGGCACAGAUCUUCCACAGCUUCAGUCCGUCCACCUCUGUCUGCUGCCAGAUGAGGGCAGCAUCAUCAGGGACACCAUAUGUCCAGUUCAUACCCUCUGCUCAAUCCUGCCCUCUGUGAAACCAUUAGGUUGCUAAACACCUGCUGACCUGUACCUGUCCAUCCCACAACCAGUACAAUAUGUAGCUCUAUCAAUGUACUUUCAGCACAUUGCAUUGAUCUGCACAUCAUCCCCCAUAUUACUCUACUUAUUUAUUAAAACAUCUUUUUAUUCUUG
Brienomyrus brachyistius is the source of this 879-nucleotide long non-coding RNA. RefSeq lists it as uncharacterized. Lineage: Eukaryota; Metazoa; Chordata; Actinopteri; Osteoglossiformes; Mormyridae. The record is from RefSeq and is a predicted model, not a curated record. The transcript has 2 exons.